This 279-nucleotide unclassified non-coding RNA is filed under the name plant metagenome. Its description in RNAcentral is "partial contains small subunit ribosomal RNA, internal transcribed spacer 1, and 5.8S ribosomal RNA". The record is from RNAcentral.
UUUCCGUAGGUGAACCUGCGGAAGGAUCAUUACUGAAUAUCCCAGGUCCGAGGGCUGUUGUUGACCCGAACGGUCGUUCAUGCCCGAGUGCCCCCCCACACACCCAUCUCACCCCUACCAGCACCACCGCGGGGGCCCCCCCCUCGUUUGUUUGCAGGGGGGCUUACGUUUUCACACAAACUCUGCAUGCAGAGAAGUAUGAAUUACUGGUCUUUUCGAUCUCGCAAUCAAUACAACUUCCAACAACGGAACUCUCGGCCGUCGCAACGAUGAACAACA